This is a long non-coding RNA of Lontra canadensis (Northern American river otter), 94 nucleotides long. RefSeq lists it as uncharacterized. The transcript has 3 exons. NCBI's taxonomy places the organism in Eukaryota, Metazoa, Chordata, Mammalia, Carnivora, Mustelidae. The record is from RefSeq and is a predicted model, not a curated record.
AAAGAAUGAAAAAAGCGAGAGAAAAGAGGGAAAGAGCGAAAUGCAAAUGGAAAAAGGGGUGCCCUGAAGGAAACCCGAGCGCGAAACCCGAGGU